Molecule: ribosomal RNA, 461 nt
Filed under: uncultured bacterium
Lineage: Bacteria
Description: bacterial SSU rRNA
Rfam family: Bacterial small subunit ribosomal RNA
Source: RNAcentral
CAUGCAGUCGAACGGCAGCAUGGGCUUCGGCCUGAUGGCGAGUGGCGAACGGGUGAGUAAUGCGCCGGAACGUGUCCCGUAAUGGGGGAUAACGCAGCGAAAGCUGUGCUAAUACCGCAUACGCCCCGAGGGGGAAAGCAGGGGAUCUUAGGACCUUGCGUUAUGGGAGCGGCCGACGUCUGAUUAGCUAGUAGGUGGGGUAAAGGCCUACCUAGGCGAUGAUCAGUAGCUGGUCUGAGAGGAUGAUCAGCCACACUGGGACUGAGACACGGCCCAGACUCCUACGGGAGGCAGCAGUGGGGAAUUUUGGACAAUGGGCGCAAGCCUGAUCCAGCCAUUCCGCGUGAGUGAAGAAGGCCUUCGGGUUGUAAAGCUCUUUCGGCAGGGAAGAAAAGGUCUGGGUUAAUAACCUGGACUGCUGACGGUACCUGAAGAAGAAGCACCGGCUAACUACGUGCCAG